GUAUGUAGUCUAGUGGUUAGGUUUGCGGCUCUUACUUGCAAGGCCGGGGUUUGAUUCCCUGCCAGUGCC
Molecule: non-coding RNA, 69 nt
Organism: Teladorsagia circumcincta
Lineage: Eukaryota; Metazoa; Nematoda; Chromadorea; Rhabditida; Trichostrongylidae
Source: the annotation of a GenBank genome assembly